CCAAUACACAAGUUCACUGAUGUACAUGGUCUAAGUAUUAAGUAUUGUAAGUGAACUAUUAAUGAUCAUACUUCAAAAUUCGAUUUUCUUGGCAGUUUGAUUUGUCAAGUCGCUGCAACAUAAACGAAAUCCUGACAUGUGCCUAUGUCACGAGAUUAGCCUCGAAAACCAAAUAACCCAAGAACGUGCAGCUAAACAAACAAAAAAACAAAGUUUACUAGUGGAACUGAUUAAGCAGGGUUUUAAUUCGUUUUUAGUUUAGAUUUCAACAUUCAAGAAAGCAAAAUUCACAGCCUGUUUCAUAAGACCAGUUGCAAAACAACAGAGGUCAAGCAAGACUCGGCCAAAUUCUUGAGUCCUUUCUAGUAGAUAGCACACACUCAUACAUAUACAGAGAGAGAGAGAGAGGGCUCAGACUUAAUCAGAUCAGUUACAAAACCCAAUUGGAAAAAUUGAUAUUCAGUUGGUGAAGCAGGAGGAUCCUAAUUGGAUUAUUCAUUAUUCUUUCACACAAUGAGUGAGUAUCCUGGAUUCAUAUUUUGAAUUCCUUGAGGAUCAUCAAUGUGUAUGGCAUUGACAAACAGACAAAAUCCAUUAUAUCAAUUUUAACCACUAACCGCAGAUUACGUACACCUAUGGUUAUAGAGACGCAUUGAGAUAUGUGAUAUCUCACUCCUACUGACUCAAGUUUCUAGUAAACAAAACAAAACACGCAAAUUUGGAAUCUUUUGUGUGAAUCAGAGUCUAUAUGCACACUGAUACAAUGAUAGAGAGAGAUAGAGAGAGAGAUGACCUGGAAGACGUUGAGAGCGUAGGCAAGUGAGAGAAGAGAAGAGACUUUUACCAAAAAAAAAAAAAGUGAGAGAAGAGAGGCCAAGUUGGAAGAAAGACCGAAGAAACGAUUCUUGUUACGAAACGGCGUCGCAGAUGCGUUUUAGGGAGCUUCGCUAAUGCUAACAUACGCCAUUGCCAGUUUGCC
Molecule: long non-coding RNA, 979 nt
Filed under: Eutrema salsugineum
Lineage: Eukaryota; Viridiplantae; Streptophyta; Magnoliopsida; Brassicales; Brassicaceae
Description: long non-coding RNA (ESAL_LNC002052)
Source: RNAcentral